UACGUAGGUGGCAAGCGUUAUCCGGAUUUAUUGGGCGUAAAGGGAACGCAGGCGGUCUUUUAAGUCUGAUGUGAAAGCCUUCGGCUUAACCGGAGUAGUGCAUUGGAAACUAUGUUACUAGAGUGCAGGAGAGGUAAGCGGAAUUCCUAGUGUAGCGGUGAAAUGCGUAGAUAUUAGGAGGAACACCAGUGGCGAAGGCGGCUUACUGGACUGUAACUGACGUUGAGGCUCGAAAGCGUGGGGAGCAAACAGG
RNAcentral lists this ribosomal RNA (253 nucleotides) under uncultured bacterium. RNAcentral's name for it is "partial 16S ribosomal RNA". It matches the Rfam family "Bacterial small subunit ribosomal RNA", at positions 524 to 776 of the family's 1533-position model. The record is from RNAcentral.